AUGCGUGAUCAGGUCGGCAUCGACCUGGACGGCUUCCCCCUCGACCACGAGUUCCUGGACGACUACGGGCAAGAGGAAGAGGACGAUUGCGACAUCGAUGUGGAGCCCUUGUUCGAGGACGAGCUUGCCAACCAAGCCGCCGGUCCAAAGCCGAAGCGCAAGAGCAAGCGUACGAAGGAGUACACGGCGACCGAGGACAAAUUUCUUUGCGACUGUUGGCGAGACAUUGGACAAGACCCCAAGACGGGCGCCGAGCAAAAGCAUUCAACCUUUUGGAUUUGUGUCUACCGAGAGUUUCAUGAGCGCAAGAAGUUUCCGCCGUACCAAUUUGUGAGCACGCGCGGGUGGGUCUCCAUUUCCAUGCGGUGGAGGAUGAUCCAACAAGAGUGCAACAAAAUUUGCACCACUCUUGAGAGCGUCAAGGGCCGCCCCGUGAGCGGCAUCGGCAUGCAAGACAUGGUAUGCUAG
This 468-nucleotide ribosomal RNA is filed under the name Triticum aestivum (bread wheat). RNAcentral describes it as "partial small subunit ribosomal RNA". Lineage: Eukaryota; Viridiplantae; Streptophyta; Magnoliopsida; Poales; Poaceae. The record is from RNAcentral.